GAAAGAAUAUCGGAGACGGAUGGGCAUGCGGCGCAUUAGCUAGUUGGCGGGGUAACGGCCCACCAAGGCGACGAUGCGUAGGGGUUCUGAGAGGAAGGUCCCCCACACUGGUACUGAGACACGGACCAGACUCCUACGGGAGGCAGCAGUGAGGAAUAUUGGUCAAUGGGCGAGAGCCUGAACCAGCCAAGUCGCGUGAGGGAGUACUGCCCUAUGGGUUGUAAACCUCUUUUGUCGGGGAGCAAAAGCCGGACGUGUCCGGCCGUGAGAGUACCCGAAGAAAAAGCAUCGGCUAACUCCGUGCCAGCAGCCGCGGUAAUACGGAGGAUGCGAGCGUUAUCCGGAUUUAUUGGGUUUAAAGGGUGCGCAGGCGGAUUUUUAAGUCAGCGGUCAAAUCGUGGGGCUCAACCCCAUCCAGCCGUUGAAACUGGGGAUCUAGAGUGUGCGAGAGGUAUGCGGAAUGCGUGGUGUAGCGGUGAAAUGCAUAGAUAUCACGCAGAACCCCGAUUGCGAAGGCAGCAUACCGGUGCACAACUGACGCUCAGGCACGAAAGCGUGGGUAUCGAACAGGAUUAGAUACCCUGGUAGUCCACGCAGUAAAC
RNAcentral lists this ribosomal RNA (602 nucleotides) under uncultured bacterium. RNAcentral's name for it is "bacterial SSU rRNA". It matches the Rfam family "Bacterial small subunit ribosomal RNA", at positions 202 to 807 of the family's 1533-position model. The record is from RNAcentral.